Molecule: ribosomal RNA, 526 nt
Filed under: Ptilodactylidae sp. UPOL RK0760
Lineage: Eukaryota; Metazoa; Arthropoda; Insecta; Coleoptera; Ptilodactylidae
Description: partial 16S ribosomal RNA
Rfam family: Bacterial large subunit ribosomal RNA
Source: RNAcentral
CAUCGUUUUAUGAUUAAUAAUAUAAAAUUUGACCUGCCCAAUGAAAAUUUUAAAUGGCCGCGGUAUUUUGACCGUGCAAAGGUAGCAUAAUCAUUAGUUUCUUAAUUAGAAGCUGGAAUGAAUGGUUGGACGAGAAAAUGACUGUCUUUAGUUAAAUUAUUAGAAAUUUAUUUUUAAGUUAAAAAGCUUAAAUUCUUGUGAAAGACGAGAAGACCCUAUAGAGUUUUAUUUAUUUAAUUUUUAUUAUAAAAUUAGUUUAAGAAUUUAUAUAUGUGUUAAUAAAUUUGAUUGGGGUGAUUGGAGGAUUUAAUAAACUCUUUUUAUUUUGUAUUAUUAAUUUAUAUUUUAUUGAUCCAUUAUUUAUGAUUAGAAGAUUAAAUUACCUUAGGGAUAACAGCGUAAUUUUUAUGGAGAGUUCUUAUCAAUAUAAAAGUUUGCGACCUCGAUGUUGGAUUAAAAUUUAUUUUUGGUGGAGAAGCUGAAUAAUUAAGUCUGUUCGACUUUUAAAAUUUUACAUGAUCUGAGU